This 497-nucleotide ribosomal RNA is filed under the name uncultured bacterium. Its description in RNAcentral is "partial 16S ribosomal RNA". It matches the Rfam family "Bacterial small subunit ribosomal RNA", at positions 28 to 507 of the family's 1533-position model. The record is from RNAcentral.
GACGAACGCUGGCGGCGUGCUUAAUACAUGCAAGUUGAGCGCUGAAGGUUUGUACUUGUACCAACUGGAUGAGCAGCGAACGGGUGUGUAACGCGUGUGGAAUCUGCCUUUCAUUGGGGUACAUCAUUUGGAAACGAAUUCUAAUACCGCAUAAAAACUUUAAACACAAGUUUUAUGUUUGAAAUUUGCAAUUUCAUCACUCACUGAUGAUCCCGCGUUGUAUUAGCGAGUUGGUGAGGUACAGACUCUUCAAGGCGAUGAUACAUAGCCGACCUGAGAGGGUGAUCGGCCAGAUUGAGAGGGAGACACGGCACAAACGGCUACGGGAGGCGGCAGUAGGGAAACGUCGGCAAUCGACGAAAGUCAGACCGAGAAAGGCCGAGGGAGUAAAGAGGGUCUUCGGAUCGGAAAACUCUGUUGGUAGGGAAGAAAGUGGGUGAGAGUGGAAAGAUCAGCAAGUGACGGUAACGACCAAGAAAGGGACGGCUAACUACGUG